RNAcentral lists this unclassified non-coding RNA (356 nucleotides) under soil metagenome. Its description in RNAcentral is "partial contains 5.8S ribosomal RNA, internal transcribed spacer 2, and large subunit ribosomal RNA". The stretch from base 1 to 120 matches the Rfam family "5.8S ribosomal RNA", at positions 35 to 154 of the family's 154-position model. The record is from RNAcentral.
GAUGAAGAACGUAGCGAAAUGCGAUAAGUAAUGUGAAUUGCAGAAUUCAGUGAAUCAUCGAAUCUUUGAACGCACAUUGCGCCCGCCAGUAUUCUGGCGGGCAUGCCUGUCCGAGCGUCAUUUCAACCCUCGAACCCCUCCGGGGGUCCGGCGUUGGGGAUCGGGAAACCCUAAGACGGGAUCCCGGCCCCGAAAUACAGUGGCGGUCUCGCCGCAGCCUCUCAUGCGCAGUAGUUUGCACAACUCGCACCGGGAGCGCGGCGCGUCCACGUCCGUAAAACACCCAACUUCUGAAAUGUUGACCUCGGAUCAGGUAGGAAUACCCGCUGAACUUAAGCAUAUCAAUAAGCGGAGGA